Pelobates cultripes (western spadefoot toad) is the source of this 239-nucleotide non-coding RNA. The record is from the annotation of a GenBank genome assembly. NCBI's taxonomy places the organism in Eukaryota, Metazoa, Chordata, Amphibia, Anura, Pelobatidae.
AUGCGUGACAUCAACCUUUAUAGUGCGUCAUUUCUGUUGGUGGUACAGGGCUGCGUUCAGUGUGUUUCCCUAGGUCAAUGCAUCUUUAACUUGCGGUGUGUCCGCCAGGGUGUUUCUCAGUCGGGGGCAUAGGGCGCUGCGCAGGUGUGCCACUUGAGAUUUAGGUGGUUUCAUGUUAUUCAGGGAUUUGCGGUUAUACUCCAUUAUUUUUGGUGGGUUGACGCCUUGCUUAGAGGGAG